CGCCGCUUUCGCGUUGUAGACUAAAGGGGCGUUUAUCUUUGCACGGCCCGGGUAUAGGUCCGUUGGAACGCGGCAUCAUGGAGGGUGAGAAUCCCGUCUGUGACUCGGAGAUCUUCGUGCAUGUACGUUACGCUUCCAAAGAGUCGGGUUGUUUGGGAAUGCAGCCCAAAAAUGGGUGGUAAAUUUCAUCCAAGGCUAAAUAUUGGCACGAGACCGAUAGCGAACAAGUACCGUGAGGGAAAGAUGAAAAGAACUUUGAAAAGAGAGUCAAAAAGUACGUGAAACCGUUAAAAGGGAAACGAAUGGGGCUAGCAUUUGUACGGCAGACGCAAUCAACCGACGAUGUCUGCGGUGAGGGACAGGGAAAAAAUCGUCCACGUGACUUUUUUUUCCGCUUGUCGUUUGCGGCAAAGGCAGGGGUCGCCUCGGUGCACUUGCGUCCCGUACAGGCCAACGUCGGUUCGGGCCAGGAAAUAGAAACCGCGUCCGGGAAGAAAGGAGGUGGAGCAUUAACGUUUUACUUCCUGUCCCCAUGGCGUUAUUCGGUCGUCCUGGGCUGGACCGAGGAGUAGCAGCACGAAAGAACUUGUUCUUGUCGGCCAUCAUUGCCGGGAGGGUUUUUGGGGAAAAGGCGUUUCGGUUUCGGCCGACUCGUCACCCUGCUGUCCCGAGAUCAGUGGUGUCAGCUCGACUACGUGCUUCGUGACGUUGGCAAAAUGGCCUCAUCCGACCCGUCUUGAAACACGGACCAAGGAGUCUAACAUACGCGCGAGUCUUUGGGUGGAAAGCCCGCAGGCGAAAUGAAAGUGAAAAGGCUUAGAGGAACUUUAUUGUGCCUCGACGUCCGGUGAGAUACCCUGGGCCAUUGCGGCCCGGAGGUUGCAUCAUCGACCGGUCAGAAAGGGUUUGUUUCCGUCAAAAGAGGCAUGUACCCUAUAGACCGAGAAGGAGCGUGUCUGUUGGGACCCGAAAGAUGGUGAACUAUGCCUGAACAGGGUGAAGUCUGAGGAAACUCAGAUGGAAGCUCGUAGCGAUUCUGACGUGCAAAUCGAUCGUCUGAUUUGGGUAUAGGGGCGAAAGACUAAUCGAACCAUCUAGUAGCUGGUUCCCUCCGAAGUUUCCCUCAGGAUAGCUGGAAAUUAUAACGCAGUUUUAUCAGGUAAAGCGAAUGAUUAGAGGUCUUGGGGUUGAAAUAACCUCAACCUAUUCUCAAACUUUAAAUAGGUAAGAACUCACGACUUGCUUGAUUCAGCGUUUUUCGCUUGAAGUCGUAAGGAGAAUGUAAAUUUCCAAGUGGGCCAUUUUUGGUAAGCAGAACUGGCGAUGCGGGAUGAACCGAACGCAAAGUUAAAGUGCCAAAAUUCACGCUCACCUAGAUCCCAGAAAAGGUGUUGGCUGAUAGAGACAGCAGGACGGUGGCCAUGGAAGUCGGAAUCCGCCAAGGAGUGUGUAACAACUCACCUGCCGAAUCAGCCAGCCCUGAAAAUGGAUGGCGCUCAAGCGUGAUACUUAUACUUUGCCGUUUUGGACCAGGAAGACUCUAGCAGUCGGCCAACCCUUUCCAAAACGAGUAGGAGGGCGUGGAGGUACGCAGUGAAGAAGCUUUCGGCGUGAGCCGGAGUGAAACUGCC
RNAcentral lists this ribosomal RNA (1631 nucleotides) under Parataeniella dilatata. RNAcentral's name for it is "eukaryotic LSU rRNA". It matches the Rfam family "Eukaryotic large subunit ribosomal RNA", at positions 130 to 1437 of the family's 3401-position model. The record is from RNAcentral. Lineage: Eukaryota; Ichthyosporea; Ichthyophonida; Parataeniellaceae.